RNAcentral lists this ribosomal RNA (468 nucleotides) under uncultured bacterium. RNAcentral describes it as "bacterial SSU rRNA". It matches the Rfam family "Bacterial small subunit ribosomal RNA", at positions 29 to 501 of the family's 1533-position model. The record is from RNAcentral.
ACGAACGUUGGCGGCGUGGAUUAGGCAUGCAAGUCGAACGAAGCACGGGGGGCAACUCCUGUGACUGAGUGGCGAAAGGGGCAGUAAUGCGUGGGUAACCUACCCUCCGGACCGGGAUAGCUUCGGGAAACUGAAGGUAAUACCGGGCGACGUAACGGGAUCGCAUGGUCCUGUUACCAAAUGGCCAACCGCCGGGGGCGGGGCUCACGUGGUAUUAGCUUGUUGGUGAGGUAACGGCUCACCAAGGCUGAGAUGCCUAGCAGGUGUGAGAGCACGACCUGCGCCACUGGCACUGAGACACUGGCCAGACACCUACGGGUGGCUGCAGUCGAGGAUCUUCGGCAAUGGGCGCAAGCCUGACCGAGCGACGCCGCGUGUGCGAUGAAGGCCUUCGGGUUGUAAAGCACUGUCGAGGGGGAGAAGGGUCCGUAAGGGCUUGACCUAUCCCUGGAGGAAGCACGGGCUAAG